RNAcentral lists this ribosomal RNA (388 nucleotides) under uncultured euryarchaeote. RNAcentral's name for it is "bacterial SSU rRNA". It matches the Rfam family "Archaeal small subunit ribosomal RNA", at positions 339 to 727 of the family's 1478-position model. Lineage: Archaea; Methanobacteriati; Methanobacteriota. The record is from RNAcentral.
UCGGGAAAAUUUUGCAAUACACGCAAGUGUGACAGAGCAAGCCAAAGUGUUAAUCAUUUAUGAUUAUCUUUUGUGGAAUGUAGAAAGUUCCACGAAUAAGGACCGGGCAAGACUGGUGCCAGCCGCCGCGGUAAUCCCAGCGGUCCAAGUCGCAGCCACAUUUGUUGGGUCUAAAAUAUCCGUAGCUUGCCUUGUAAGUCCUUUGUGAAAUCGGGCCUCUUAAGGGUCCGGCGUGCAAAGGAUACUGCUUGGCUAGAGACCGGGAGGCGUAAGAAGUACAGAUAGAGUAACGGUAAAAUGUGUUGAUCCUUUCUGGACUAACAAUCGCGAAGGCAUCUUACGAGAACGGUUCUGACAGUGAGGGAUGAAGGCUAGGGGCGCAAAGUGG